GUUGAUCCUGCCAGUAGUCAUACGCUCGUCUCAAAGAUUAAGCCAUGCAUGUCUAAGUAUAAAUCUUUUACUUUGAAACUGCGAAAUGGCUCAUUAUAUAAGUUAUAAGUUUAUUUGAUAGUCCCUUACUACUUGGAUAACCGUAGUAAUUCUAGAGCUAAUACAUGCGUACAUACCCUUCUGGGGUAGUAUGUUAUUAGAUGGAAACCAACCCCUUCGGGGUGAUGUGGUGAUUCAUAAUAAGCUUGCGGAUCGCACGGCUUUGCUGGCGAUGGACCAUUCAAGUUUUCUUCCCUAUCAGCUUUGGACGGUAAGGUAUUGGCUUACCGUGGCUUUAACGGGUAACGGAAAAUUAGGGUUUGAUUCCCGGAGAGGGAGCCUGAGAGACGGCUACCACAUCCAAGGAAAGGCAGCAGGCGCGUA
RNAcentral lists this ribosomal RNA (423 nucleotides) under uncultured eukaryote. Its description in RNAcentral is "SSU rRNA". It matches the Rfam family "Eukaryotic small subunit ribosomal RNA", at positions 7 to 438 of the family's 1831-position model. The record is from RNAcentral.